This 71-nucleotide transfer RNA is filed under the name Myotis davidii. It matches the Rfam family "tRNA". From Rfam's summary of the family: Transfer RNA (tRNA) molecules are approximately 80 nucleotides in length. Their secondary structure includes four short double-helical elements and three loops (D, anti-codon, and T loops). Further hydrogen bonds mediate the characteristic L-shaped molecular structure. tRNAs have two regions of fundamental functional importance: the anti-codon, which is responsible for specific mRNA codon recognition, and the 3' end, to which the tRNAs corresponding amino acid is attached (by aminoacyl-tRNA synthetases). tRNAs cope with the degeneracy of the genetic code in two manners: having more than one tRNA (with a specific anti-codon) for a particular amino acid; and 'wobble' base-pairing, i.e. permitting non-standard base-pairing at the 3rd anti-codon position. The record is from Rfam by way of RNAcentral. Lineage: Eukaryota; Metazoa; Chordata; Mammalia; Chiroptera; Vespertilionidae.
GCCAGUGUAGCUCAGUGGUUGAGCACCGACCUAUGAACUAGGAGGUCAUGGUUCAAUUCCAGGUCAGGGCA